UACGUAGGGGGCGAGCGUUGUCCGGAAUCAUUGGGCGUAAAGGGCUCGUAGGCGGCCAACUAAGUCGGACGUGAAAUCCCCAGGCUCAACCUGGGAACUGCGUCCGAUACUGGAUGGCUUGAAUCCGGGAGAGGGAUGCAGAAUUCCAGGUGUAGCGGUGAAAUGCGUAGAUAUCUGGAGGAAUACCGGUGGCGAAGGCGGCAUCCUGGACCGGCAUUGACGCUGAGGAGCGAAAGCCAGGGGAGCAAACGGG
Molecule: ribosomal RNA, 253 nt
Filed under: uncultured bacterium
Lineage: Bacteria
Description: partial 16S ribosomal RNA
Rfam family: Bacterial small subunit ribosomal RNA
Source: RNAcentral